UUUCUGCUUUCUAUGUCUCUGGCAACGGCACCGGGCAUUUCACCCUGGACUAAAGAGGCAGACAGAUAGGAAAAUGUUGCUAGACCCUCUUGUUAAAUGACACAUUUCUCGAGCUAGGAAUAUGGCAAAAAAAAUAGGAUUAAAUGGCUCAUUCGAGUGAAGACAUCUUUUUGAAUGUUAAAUGACGAGACAGAGGGGAGUUGACAGAGACCGAAGGGGAGACUAUAAGAGGAGGAACGUUGACGUGUACAGCGGACGUAUCAGCACAGCGUUG
This is a long non-coding RNA of Oncorhynchus tshawytscha (Chinook salmon), 274 nucleotides long. The record is from Ensembl. NCBI's taxonomy places the organism in Eukaryota, Metazoa, Chordata, Actinopteri, Salmoniformes, Salmonidae.